Molecule: long non-coding RNA, 12722 nt
Organism: Loxodonta africana (African savanna elephant)
Lineage: Eukaryota; Metazoa; Chordata; Mammalia; Proboscidea; Elephantidae
Exons: 6
Source: RefSeq, a predicted model, not a curated record
CUUUUUUUGGACUACACAGUUUUCCAUGGUGUCAAUAUAUGGGGGGAGUGGCCACCAUGUUUAAGUACACACGUUCCAGCCUCCCCAUGCCAAGCUGUGUGCAUGUAAGGGACCCUUCUGUCCCUGAAAAUAUUGAAGAGGGAUCAAGAGUUAGAGAUGGGAGGGGCCUUAUUACGCUGUCCAGUCCAGUAGCCUUGAGUCACAGAUGGCUUUUAAGCAUUUGAAAUGUGGCUAAUCCGAACUGAGACAUACUGUAAAUGUAAACUACUCACCUUAUUUUUAAGAUUUCAUUAAAAAAAGCAUGUGAAAUAUCUUAAUAAUUUCUUAUAUUUUUUACAUGUUGAAAGGAUAACAUUUUGGAUAUAUUGGCUAAAUAAAAUAUACCAUUAAAAUGAAUUUCACCUAUUUCUUUUUACUUUUAUAAAUGUUAUUGUUAGCUGCUGUUGAGUUGGCCCCCAACUCAUGGUGACCCCAUGCACAACAGAAAUAAAUGCUGCCUGUCCUAUGGGGUCAAUAUGAGUCGGAAUCGACUUGAUGGCAAGAGGUUUUUUGAUUUCUUCCUAUGCUAUCCCCAGGAUCAGUGGCAUUGAGAUCCAUAGGGUUUUCACUGGCUGAUUUUUUCAGAAGUGGAUCACCAGGCCUUUCUUCCUUGUUUAUUUUAGUCCAGAAGCUCCACUGAAACCUGUUCAGCAUCAUAGCAGCACGUAAGCCUCUACUGACAGAUGGGUGAUGGCUGCACAUGAGGUACAUUGGUUGGGAGUUGAACCCAGGUCUCCUACACAGAAGAAGAGAAUUCUACCGCGGAACUACCAAAGCUCCCUUUUCAGCGUAGCAACUAGAAACUGUGAAAUUACAUUUGUGGCUUGCAUUUGUGACCAGCAUAUUUCUACUGGACAUUACUUCCUCAGAGACUUGGAGCCCAGGGAGAGGGCUGGGCAUGGGGAGGAACUAAAUAUAGCAGAAGGGGAGAAAGCAAAGGAGGAGGAAGGAGAUGGAUAGCAGCAGCCAAUGGAAGUCCCCCCCCCCGGCUGGCGCUCAGGAGGUCUGGGCCCUGUCUCUCACAGUGACUUGCUGGGAGACUCAAGGACCAGUAUCUUCUUUCCAGUCUCAGCUUCCUCUCAUGGAAAACAAAGGAGCUGGACCUGACAACGAAUAGGAGUAGAGAAUGUUGCCUCCGGAAGGGCAGGGCUUCCUCUCUGUUUUGUCCCCUGAAGCUAAUAGGAAGUGAAAUGGAAGAUUUGAGUUUUCCUUUUCAUGAAGUGUUAGACUUACCAAGGUGUCAGAACUUGGAGGCUGGUGGAGAUCAUAGGCUGCCUUGGACUAUGGAGGCUUGAUCCUACCAGGGGUACCAUUCUUGUCAUAUGCCCACCAGAUAUGGCUCGGACACCCCCUCCUCCCUUGUCCCGGAGUAAAGGCUGGGAGGCAAUCUGUGCCCUGUCACCACCUGCAAGGAGACUCAGGCCCUCUUUCCUGAGAGCCUUGCUGCCCACUGGAUGUCAGUUAAAGACACUGCCUUACAUCACACAUGUUGGUCUGCAGGAAACAUUCUCUUUCCCACCCUCGCAGUGAUGGGCUCCUGGAAAGGUCAACCUGAAAGAAAAGAGAGACAAAGAGAGAAAAUGUAAAAGCAUCUAAGUGGCUCGUCUCUUGUAUGUGGAGUCUUAGAACCCAGAUCAAGAACUUGGGCCUGAAUGGACUUCAACUGGGCCACCCGUUCAAGUGUAACUGUCUUGGGACCCCUUCCAGCCUGGAACACAACGAACUCAAACACACAUUUUAGUUGGCUUGUUUAAAAAAAAAAAAAAAAACAACUCUGAAAUCCUACUAAUUGUUUGGAUUUCUGGAGAAAGGCUGGUGACAAGAGAAAAAAUUUCUCCUUGGCCAGAUGUCUGGCUUCUUGCAUCAAACUCUUGCGACCUCAAACAGUGUCGUGGAUGUUUUCUUUCACGCUAGCCACCUGUGGCCCAGAUCAGCAUCUAUUUUGCAGGUCCCCAUGUUUUUUUUGGGUUAUGUCCAUAUUGAAUGCUCCUCGGUCUUGUCUUCACCGACCGUCCUCUUUGUUCUCUGACAUAUGAUGAAGAUCUAAGAAGCAGUAGUGUCAGAGAAGCGGCAUUUUGAAGAUUUGAGAGGAAGGGCUGACCUCAAAAUUUUAUAUCUAGGUGUAUGGAAACACAGGAAAUUCUUUUAUCCCUGUGCAGAAUUCUUUCAUUAAACUCAUUCAGAUGGACAAAAGUUAUAUGCAGUAAAAUACCUGUUCGAUUCUGAACGUGUUUAUUGGUGGAAAGAAUUUUGCUUUCUAGAAAACUUAUGUCUUCUAUACAGUGGGAGUAACAAACAGGUCGAAAGAGAGGGUCCUGGGCCAAGUGACCUCUAGAAUUUUCUUCUAGCUGUAAGGUCAAUAAGUCUAUAAGUACCUCUUCUGGGGUUUUACCCAUUCUUGAUGGGAAUGUCAGGGUUAGAGGAAGGGCAUCAGACCAGGUGCAUCCCUGGAGGGGCCACCUUCUGUGGCAGAUUCUUCUCUAUAGACAUUUGCUCUUUAGAAACAGAGUUAAGGUCAACCCAUUUCCCAGCAAGUCAAUAAACUGCCUUCUCAUCUAGGCCAGUAGAAUAGCCAUAAAUGAACUCAAGUAUCAUCAAGUCUCUUUGGAGAGAUUUUUGAACUUUUGGAACAUGCAUCUGUGAACUGGCUGGGGCCCAGAAUUCACUGAAGGGAGAACAAAUAUGAAAGAAUAUGAUGGACCCAUGGAUUACCUUCUUGGCAUUCCCUAGAACAGCUGUCUGGCAAAUGUUAUACCACGUCUGAGAUUAUUUUAGAAACUUUGUUUUGAAGAAGAACACAUAGGGAGAAGACCAGACAGAUUUGCCCUCAUUUUCCGUCAUAGAGUAAGAAUUUCAAGGACAUUUUUGUUUUCAAUGAGAUCACGCUGGCUGUGGUCUUAUCAUCUUUGAAACUUAAAUCAUGUCAGAUCUCAUAAAUGUACAGGUAAGUGCAGUUGUAGAAAUGAGAAAAUAUUUGAGGUCUUCUUCUUCCUCUUCUUCAUUAUUAUGAUAAAUGGAAUAUUCUGAAGAUGUCUUAAACAAUAGAAUUCCUCCAAGUAUCACUAGGAGCCUAUUCUAAAUGAAAUACACACGGAAUGGUAAAAUGACAAAUGACAUGUACUUUCCUAAAUUCCCGUUCUGGCCUCUUCUUGUGUCCAAAUGUCAUAUUUUCCGGGUUCAGUGAAACAGCAAGUGUCUUAGUUAUUUAGUGCUGCUAUAACAGAAAUACCACAGGCGAAUGACUUUAAUAAACAGGAAUUUAUUCUCUCACAGUUUAGGAGGCUAGAAGUCCAAAUUCAGGGUGCCAGCUCCCAGGGAAGUCUUUCUCUGUCGGUCCUAGGGGAAGGUCCUUUUCAUCGAUUUUCGCCUAGUCUAGGAGCUUCUCAACACAGGGACCCCUGGUCUAAAGGAUGCACUCUACUCCUGGCUUUUCUUUCUGGGUAAUAUGAGGUGUCUCUCCUCUCUGCCCGUUUCUCUGUUUUAUAUUUCAAAAGAGAUUGAGUCAAGAUACAACGUAAUCCUAUAGAUUGUGUCCUGCCUCAUUAACAUAACUGUCUCUAAUCCUGCCUCAUUAACAUCAUAGAGGUUAGGAUUUACAACACAUGGGAUAAUCACAUCCGAUGACAAAAUGGUGGACCACCACACGAUACUGUGAGUCAUGACCUGACCAAGUUGACACAUAUUUUUGGGGGUCACAAUUCAAUCCCUAACAGCAAGGCAAGAUAAAGCUCAGUGUAGGCUUGGGAUCUAUAACUGUGGGAGUGAGAGUGUGGCCUGGCGUGAGUCCCCAUCAUGUCCUUGUUCACAUCAGAAUUGCAAGCAAAGGUAUCGUUUGUCAAUAUGUGCCACCUACCUAGAGGUAGGCUCUGAACUAUGAACACCUGACUCCCUGUUACCUAAAAAUGCCACCUUAGGAGUUCUGAAAAUGAAGUUGUGUGUGUGUGUGUGUGUGUGUGCACAUGACUGCAUGAGUUCAUGCAAGGUUGUAUGAGCAUGUGUGUGGUUAAGAAAUCGUGUAUCCAGGGGAUGGGAUUCCCUUAUCAAUUGGUACUCUGGCCUGAGAAGCUGAGAAGGGGUAUUCCAUACUUGGCAGGGCUGAGGUUGCAGCGGGAGGCAGGGUUAGAUGUGAUGGGAAAAGGGACUGUGAAAUGGUAAAGGAAUGUGUUCAGAGGUCUGAGUUCCAAAUCAGAUUCAAUUUUUCUCUACUUUUGUUUUCAUUGUGUACCCGUGUGUGUGUAUUGGUUACAUUACACUCCAAUUAAGGUUUUUUUUGUGUGUGUGUGACUAAUCUGGAAAUCAAACUAUAAUUUGUAACAUCAUUUGUUGUUGUUAGUUGCCAAUUUUGUUCUGACUCAUGAUGACCUUAUGUAUAACAGAAUGAAAUGUUGCCCAGUCCAGCACCAUCUCCAUGAUCAUUGGUAUAUUUACUCUAAAUAUAAUUUAAAAAACAAAACAAAACAAAAACUUUUGGAACACAGCAGGAUUUCGAGUUGGAGACAGCCUACUUCACUGGGCGAGGAUUGGAGGGUUGGUUCAGCUUCCUGUUGAACAUUGUGGAAAUACCCGAGGCAUUCCCCAGGCACGACACGUCUUUGAGAAAUGAGAGUUGAAAUAGAGAGCUGAGUUAGCCCCAGCACACCUAGGGAACUGUUGAUGUUUGUGGAUUUUACGCACCUCUUCAUGAAGGAAAUGAGUGUAUGCUAACUGAAUGUCUCCUCUUAUUCCCACCCUUCAUUUUCUUUCACUUAAGCCUUCCACAAGUUAUAAACCAAAAAAUCAAACCCAUUGCUGUCUAGUUGAUUCCGACUCAUAGCGACCCUAUAGGACAGAGGAGAACGGCCCUAUAGGGUUUCCAAGGAGCAGCUGGUGGAUUUGAACCACUGACCUUUUGGUUAGCAGCUGAGCUCUUAACCACUGCGCCACCAAGGGCUUCUCCCCAGGUUAUGGCUAUGCAUUUUUGGCAGGAUACCACAGGAAUGAUUCCCUGUUCUCCUCCUUGCAUCCAAUCAGGUAUUUGAUGCAGGGCAGACUGGAAUCCUCACCACAAGGCUGCCUGGCCUGGGCGGUCAUAAGGUCAGUCAGUGCAGCAGGGUCAUUUCCUGGGGGAAUGAACCCCACCCACUCUGGCCCUGGAAUGAUGCCUGCCUUAUCUUCCAUCCCCAGCAAGCCUCCAUCUUGGCUGGCUCUGGGCCAUACAAUCAGAUGGAAAUGGAUGUCAGCAAGCACAAGACACCCAACCAUGCCAAGCGAGCUGUUUAAAGGCAAGGAUCCAGAACCAGGAAUGCCCCCCAUGACUGCCCAGGGUGCGGGGGGGGGGGUGUUAAGAAUGGCAUGCAAAAUCAUUUGUAACCUAGCCCCAGGUUGCCUCAGGCUUGACCUGUGGGUUUUCAAGUCUUAAAGAAGACCAUGGCUAUGGCAGUGCCUGGCUCAGUGCCUGACCUAGAGUAGACACUUAAAAACCAGCCUCCUGCCUCUUCUUUUACCUACACUCAGCCCCAGACUUGCAUGCCAUUUGCUGGGCAUUUCAUAUUCUGCCACCCCCAUGCUGCCAACCUUUCCUGCUAUGCCUGUCAACCUCCUUUUUGCGAAGGCUUCCCUGAAUACUUCUAACUACGCAAAUAAAAAAGGCAAAGUUGAAAGUAAUGAAAUUUCAACGAAAUCUGUACAAAAGGAAGCAUGAUGCUAACCUCAUUAAUCAUUCAAUUUUGUAUUCGUACAAAAUUCAUUGCGUUUUAAAACAAUAUAUGGUUAGAUUUUCCUGGGCUUCGGUGAUGAUUGCUGAGAAUGUUGUAGAAAAUCUAAAAUCAAACAAGUUACUUAGAGGUGAUUGCCUUUGCCAGCAAAAAAAUUAUAGAACUAAGACAUUUUUAAAAAUAAAAAUUACAUUUGAUGUGGGAUAAGCAUGCUUUUGAAUAUAUUUAAAAGAGGAUAGAAUGAGGUCCCCAACCAGAAGAGCCGAGGGCUUACAAAGAACCCACGCCAGCCAAAGCUGUUAGGUAGUGAGCCUCUUGUCCUUGGUGGUAAGACCACAGAGGCUGGACAACCAGAGUUUUGUGGAGACGUAAGAGCCUUCCCAUGUUAGAUGGUGGAGUGAGACUCAGUCCCUGAAUAGUUUUGACCCUGGACGGGAUGAUUCCCCUCUUGGCCUCAGGGCCUUCUAUAAAACAAACAAACAAAAAAUAUGCAAAGCUCCUUUAAGCUCUUUUAUACCUUUAAAACUUUGAAUUAGUUGGACUACAUGAUCUCUCUCUGUCCCUGAGAGUUAAAUUCUAUGCAUUGUCCCCCGAGCUUUGAUUCCAAGAGCUGUUUAUUUUGAGCAUCAGUGUCUGCACAGCCCAUAAUCAAGGGCUCCGACUCGCUUACUGCUGAUGUCGCUUCUGGAGAGGAAGUUGGCCAGCCAGGUUCUGUGAGCUGGCGUUCUCACCCCUCUAAAUAUAAUUGAGGCUCUGCCCUGGGGGCUGGAUAUAGAGAAAGGUAGGCUUUCUUUCCAUUGCAUUUAGUACAUUAGUUUGAAGCUUUUGCCUUAAGAAUUGUAUCAAGCGAAGGAACUCAUGAAGAAAAAGAUGUUUGCUAAGGGGCCAUGACUGAUGGGUACUGGCAGUCAGCUGAGCUCUGAGGCACUUGGGUCACAGUGGUUAGGGUACACCAUUGACAGCAUCAAGGAGAGGAAGAAUGGAAAGAGUGAGGAGUGUUACAUGGCACCUGGUGACGUUGCCUGGCGUGUAAUCGGAAGCUCUGCCAGUUAGUGAGGACUGUUCUGGGCACGGACCUCUCCUCCUUUCUGAAGGAUGAGGCUGUAUCAGUCAGUUCGGCUUCACUCUGCUGCAGUAACAAGCAACUCCAAAAUUUCAAUGGCUUACAGCACCAGAGGCUUGUCUCUUGCACUCACUUCUGGACUAUGAUGGGUUAACUGUGGCAUUGCUCCAGGUCAUCUCCACUCAGGGACCGGGCUGAUGGAGCAGUGCAUUUGGAAUAUUGCCAGCCUUGUGGCAGAGGGAAGGCCCUUGGGAGGUGCAAACAGUUUGUGCUUGACUACUAAGCUGAAGGUUGGUGGUUCAAACCCACCCAGUGGCGCUGUGGGAGAAAGACCUGGAGAUCUGCUUCUGUAAAGAUUACUGCCAAGAAAACCUUAUGGAGCAGUUCUACUCUGUAACACAUGGGGUCGUUAUGAGUUACUGUGUAAGGCAUGGGGUUGCAGUGGGUUUUGUGGCAGAGGGAGAAAAGCAGAGGUAAGCCUUGAGCUGGCUUUUAAUCUUCUGCCCGGAAGUGACGUGUGUCACUUCCGCACGCUUCACUUGUCAAUCAUGUGGCCAAGCAUGAGGAAAGGAAAUGCCAUCUUCUCCAAAUAGGGCAGCAGAUCUUUAUGAACAACAAUACGGUCUGCCACAGGGACUGUCGAAGGAGCCCCUCUGUCUGUUGAGCAACUGCACAGACUCCUCUGUCUCUUCCCAGACAGGGAAGAUUGCUGCCCACCUUGUUGUUGUUGUUGUUAGGUGCCAUUGAGUUGGUUCUAACUCAUAGUGACCCUAUGCACAACAGAGCGAAGCACUGACUGGGCCUGUGCCAUCCACACAAUCGUUGCUAUGCUUCAAACCAUUGUUGCAGCCACUGUGUCAGUCCAUCUCACUGAGGGUCUUCCUCUUUUUCGCUGACCCUCUACUUGACCAAGCAUGAUGUCCUUCUCCAGGGACCGAUUCCUCCUGAUAACAUGUCCAAAGUAUGUGAGACGUAGUCUUGCCAUCUUUGGUUCUAAGGAGCAUUCUGGUUGUACUUCUUCUAAGACAGGUUUGUUUGUUCUUCUGGCUGUCCAUGGUAUAUUCAACAUUCUUCGCCAACACCACAAUUCAAAGGUGUCAACUCUUCUUCCAUCUUCCUCAUUCAUUGUCCAGCUUUCGCAUGCGUAUGAGGCGAUUGAAAACACCAUGGCUUGGGUCAGGCGCACCUUAGUCCUCAAGGUGACAUCUUUGCUUUUUAACACUUUAAAGAGAUCUCUUGCAGCUGAUUUGCCCAAUGCAAUGCAUCUUUUGAUUUCUUGACUGCUGCUUCCAUGGCUGUUGAUUGUGGAUCCAAGUAAAAUGAAAUCCUUGACAACCUCAAUCUUUUCUCCGUUUAUCAUGAUAAUUGCUUAUUGGUCCAGUGGUGAGGAUUUUUAUUUUCUUUAUGUUGAGGAGCAAUCCAUACUGAAGGCUGUGGUCUUUGAUCUUCAUCAGUAAGUGCUUCAAAUCCUCUUCACUUUCAGCAAGCAAGGUUGUGUCAUCUGCAUAACACAGGUUGUUAGUAAGUCUUCCUUCAAUCUGACGCCCCAUUCUUCUUCGUAUAGUCCAGCUUCUUGGGUCGUUUGCUUUCCCAAAACCCUUAGCACUCACUUCUCCAAUGACUGUGCUGUCUGCAGGCUCUGACCAAAUGCCGUUGUUCUUUAUCCUGCUCUAUCCAGGGCUUCUAUCCUUCCUUACUCCCCGUGCCCCCCAGGCUAUAACUUGAGAAAAUGAUGGAGUUAUAGUGUAUUGCCAUUGUCCUGAAGACCUGCUGUUUGGGUUGUGCUUUCCAAACAUAACCUAAAUUGCAUGUUUAAAUCAUGAUUAUUUUCACAGCCACUGUAGGAAGAUCACUCUGCUCCUUGCAGUUUGCAGAGGCUCUGAGAAAUGGUCAAGGGCUUGACCCUGGAGACACAGAUUCAUCUGGAGAUCCCAGAAGUCUUCCACAACUAUGGCAGGAGAACCUUAGAGAGUGGGGCUGCUAGGAUUCUGAAUGGUCCCUGAAAUCCUACGUAAAAUUGUAUGCGGGGCUGAGAGGACAAGAGAGCGUGUGUUCAGCGCUUGUGCAUUUUCUGGGGCCAGGAACCAUAGCUCACAUGCUGAUUCUCAAAGACCUGUGGACCCAGAAAAAUGAAGGACCACAGCAUCUAAUCCAAUCCUGCCAUUUUCCUGGAGAUAGGGAAAUUGAGGCUUGGUUCCUUGCACCAAAUGAACUGACUCUAUUUAAUAAAUUGACCGAUAGCUUUGAAACCUUAGUUUUGUUUCAACGACUUAAUUUCUCCAAUAUUACAACCUACUCUGGGAAAAAGGCAGGCCCUUUGGAAAGUUGCAUUGACUUUGAAAGCCACAAGGGAAUCGUUUGAUACAUUCCUGCCCUGGCAAUUAUUACCUCCGAGAGCCUGCAGAGCUACCUCCAGUCUUCCUGUUGGUCUCCGAGGGGACUCAUUAUGUUUCUAACAGGCCAGUAUGAAAACUUACAACGCUGGCUUACCAGAAGGGUUUGCUUUGGGAAUUUCAUAGACAGGGCUGCUUCUGUCUUGUAAAGAAAUUUGGAUCCCACAAGCAGAGUAGGAGAGGACGAUGGCAGAUGAUAAUAGCAUUGCAUACCUACCAGGCAGAGAACCAAUGGCCCAGAUCUAUUCAGGCCCCCAGCCCUUCUCCAUGAAGCUGGCUGGGGGUGAGUGGUAUUUUCUCUUUAGAGAUUAGGAAACAGAGGCUCCACCUUUUAUUAGUCUCUGGUGCAGGGAUUCUUAACAGGGUCCUUGGGUGCGACUCCUAGGGUCUAUGAACCCCUGAAAAGAUCUGCAAAGAUACGUAUGUAUUUUUAUAUGUAUUUGGAGAAGGGGGGUGCGUAUGAUUUCCAUCAGAUUCUAUAAAGCUCUGUGACCAUAAAAGGUUCAGAACUGUGACAGUGGGGUUUCUAUUUUUGUAAAUAAUUAGCAGGUUAGCCAAUCUUGAAGCUCAGCUGUGUCUUUUUUGAUACAUUCUCUCCUUUUUCUCUUGGGGGCUGACUUCCUCAAGAAGAGGCAAGCCGGAAGUGAGAACCAUUUUUAAGGCGUUUCCUGGGUGGUACAAAUGGUUUGCUCUUGACUACUAACCUCAAGGUUGGUGGUUUAAAGCCACCCAGUAGUGCCACAGAAGAAAGGCCUGGUGGUUUGCUUUCCUAAAGAUAACAGCCAAGAAAACUGGAUGGAGCACAGUCCUACCCUGUAAUACGUGGGGUUGCCAUGAGUCGGGAUCAACUCCAUGGCAACGGGUUUGGUCUCCUUCCUUUUCCUUUAGGUAACUUUCCCUUACCUAUCCCUGUUCUUGAAAGUUUAAAAUCUUACUUCUACCCACGGUAGUCCUAUGGUAGGAUGACAGAGCAGAAAGAAACCUUAAAAAUCGUCAGGAUUUACAGACGGAAAAACCGAGGCGGAGAGAGAAUUGAGUGGAUCCCAUUCACGUAGUAAAUAAGUGAUUGAGUUAGGGUUUGUUGCUUUUCAAGACAUCAACUCCUGUCUCGACUGGAAAUCUCUUGCCAAUGUUUCUUAACAAAUCACAAUUCCGAGUGACUCAUUUUUCUUGGCAUUAUGCAAAUGAAGGAGACAAGGCCUUCUGAGGGCAGGAAAUGAAGCUCCCUUGGGACCUGUUGUAGUGAUAGAAAUGGGUUCUAGAAGAGCCAAGGCUUUGUUCAUUUCGGUUCAUCAUUUUGGCCAUGGCUGGAGGGGUUAGCUCCCAGCCCACAUUCCCUGAGAGUGCUAAGCCCAAGAGGCUUAUCAGGCCCCCCGUUGUUACUGGGUGCAGCUGAAUUGAUUUUCGACUCAUAGUGACCCCAUGUGACAGAGUAGAACUGCCCCAUAGGGUUUUCUAGGUUGUGAUCUUUACGGGAGCAGAUUGCCAGGUCUUUCUCCUUCGGAGCCUCUGGGUGGGUUCAAACCACUAACCUUUCGGUUAGCAGCUGAGCGCUUCACCAUUGAGCUACCAGGGCUGCCUCAGAACUUCUAGGCUAUCUCUAGAGCUGCUUUCAGAAGCUCUUGCCCUCCCUCCCUAGCCCAGCUUCCCACUGAAGGAAAUAUUAACUUUUGUGUUAGAUGUUUUGAACCAACCAGUCGCAACCAGGUGAAACAAAGCCACAGAUUAUUGUAGGGGCCUGGAGAAGUACCUGAGCUCACGCUGUUAGACUUCAUGGGGAUUUUUAUUUUUAAAUCUUUUUUUUUUGCCUCACAAGCUGACUUUGUUCUGGCUGGAGGGCCCCUGAAUCUUGUAACCUCCAUGAGGGGUAAAGUUGAGUGUUAAUCUCACUAAUAAGGGGUCAGUUACCGAACCUACAUGUGCCUGGGUGUCUUCAAAUGGACAUAGUGUUUCUUCAGAGGGCCUGUGACGAAGUACCUCAGAAAUGUAGCCAUUUAUAAGAAACUCAUUGCUGUCAAGUCGAUUCUGACUCAUUGCAACCCUAUAGGGCAGAGUAGAACUGCCCCACAGCGUCUCCAAGGAGCAGCUGGUGGAUUCGAACUGCUGGCCUUUUGGUUAGCAGCCAAGCUCUUAACCACUGCACCACCAGGGCUCUAGUAUUCAUAAGAAAGAAGAGUGUUAUUUGCCACACAGUGGAGGAACUGGAGGAUUUUUUAGAGAUCAUUCACUUAUUAGACAGAUGGAGAAACUGAGGCCCUAAGGGGGGCAGUGGCUGGCCAAGGGCACAGAGCCAGGUGGUAGCAGAGCUGGCCUAGAGACUAGGAUCUCCUGACUGAGUUGGUAAGCUUUGGGUUGCUCUACACAACCCCGCCUCCCUUUAUCCUUCAAACCCAUGAGCCGUCCUCAAACUUUAGUCUCCAAAUUGUACCCAGUCGAAAUUUUAAGAACUAAAGCAUACAGAUGAUGAGACCUCCCAAGUAGCUUCUAAGGGGCUUUUGAACAUACUAUCAUUUAAAUAGCAUUGGAAACGAUGGCAACUGUCCUAGUCUGUUUCAAGUAGAGAAAAAAACCAGUUGCUGUUGAGUAGAUUCUGACUCACAGUGACCCAUGUGUGUCCGAGUAGAACUGUGUUCCACAGCGUUUUUGACGCUGAUUUUUCAGAAGUAGAUUGCCAGACCUUUCUUCUGAGGCAUCUCUGGGUGGACUGGAACCACCAACCUUUUGGUUCACAAUGAAUGGCUCACACGACCUAGAGGCUCCUUAAAUAGAGGGUCCUCUUUGCAGUCAGGGUAUUAUGUUCACUUUCCUUUGCUCCCUAAAUUUGUCAGGUUACAGGCUACCACAGUGCCCAGGGCUCCUACUGUAAUCCACAGAUGUCCAAGGCCACUUUUGUGGGAAACAUUUCUCAUCUCCUCCAGUACCCGAAGCCCAUUGCCCCUGAGUCAAUUCCGACUCAUAGUGACCCUAUAGGACAGCGUAGAACUGCCCCUUAGGGUUUCCAAGGAGCAGCUGGUGGAUUUGAUCUGCCCACCUUUUGGUCAGCAGCCGAGCUCUUACCCACUGCACCGUCUGCAGUAGAGACUUCAAAACAACGCUCCCCAGCCCUGCUCCAGACCCUUGAAGUUUCUAUGGUGCAGGAGAAGCCAGGGAGAUUUGUGAUCCUGGAGUCCCACACAGAGGCCCAACCCAGGCCCAAGGACUAGGCCUGAAGCGAGAGUCCAACCCGGAAUGUAACAUUCUCCCAACGGAGCAAGGAGGAGUGGCCAGCAGCCGGAAUGAAACUCCUGGGCUUUUUAUUGAAUCCAUAAAACAAAAGGUGAGGGGGCUCUGGGUAGGGGAAGAACGCAUUAUGAUUUAUGGCUUUGAUCUGGAAAGGAGGAGAACAUGGAGCUCUUUUCAACUAGGCGUGUGAUUCAUUUCCCCGGGAGCUGCAGGGCCAGGCAGGGCGUGCGCCACAGCCUCCAGCCAGGCGCACACUCGGCCGGCUCGUUUAUUUAUGGUGCUCCAUCAGGGGCUGUGCGCUGCGAUAAAGUU